UACAGAGGGCUCAAGCGUUGUUCGGAUUCAUUGGGCGUAAAGGGUGUGUAGGUGGCGCCGUAAGUCGGGUGUGAAAUCUCGGAGCUCAACUCCGAAAUGGCAUUGGAAACUACCUUGCUCGAGGGUUGGAGGGGGGACUGGAAUACUUGGUGUAGCAGUGAAAUGCGUAGAUAUCAAGUGGAACACCAGUGGCGAAGGCGAGUCCCUGGACAACUCCUGACACUGAGGCACGAAAGCUAGGGGAGCAAACAGG
RNAcentral lists this ribosomal RNA (253 nucleotides) under uncultured bacterium. RNAcentral describes it as "partial 16S ribosomal RNA". It matches the Rfam family "Bacterial small subunit ribosomal RNA", at positions 524 to 776 of the family's 1533-position model. The record is from RNAcentral.